UGGGGGAUAUUGCACAAUGGGCGAAAGCCUGAUGCAGCGACGCCGCGUGGGGGAUGAAGGCUUUCGGGUUGUAAACCUCUUUCGCUAUCGAACAAGGCCCGCUUAGGGUGGGUUGAGGGUAGGUGGAGAAGAAGCGCCGGCUAACUACGUGCCAGCAGCCGCGGUAAUACGUAGGGCGCGAGCGUUGGCCGGCAUUAUUGGGCGUAAAGGGCUUGUAGGCGGCUUGUUGCGCCUGCUGUGAAAACGCGGGGCUUAACUUCGCGCGUGCAGUGGGUACGGGCAGGCUUGAGUGUGGUAGGGGUGACUGGAAUUCCAGGUGUAGCGGUGGAAUGCGCAGAUAUCUGGAGGAACACCGAUGGCGAAGGCAGGUCACUGGGCCAUUACUGACGCUGAGGAGCGAAAGCAUGGGUAGCGAACAGG
Molecule: ribosomal RNA, 420 nt
Filed under: bacterium
Lineage: Bacteria
Description: partial 16S ribosomal RNA
Rfam family: Bacterial small subunit ribosomal RNA
Source: RNAcentral